Long non-coding RNA from Cephus cinctus (wheat stem sawfly), 1135 nucleotides. RefSeq lists it as uncharacterized. The record is from RefSeq and is a predicted model, not a curated record. The transcript is spliced from 3 exons. Lineage: Eukaryota; Metazoa; Arthropoda; Insecta; Hymenoptera; Cephidae.
GAACUAUAUCUCUGCUUGAGUCUUCCAACGUGUCGCUACGUGGACAGCCAGAAUUUCCCGGCAAAAUGUCAACUGAUGGCAGCCCGCCAAUAUAUAUUUCUAAGAACGAACGAUAGAAAAAUCUGUAAAUUCUUACUAAACGACUGAAGUGAUCUCUUUCUCAGUUCGUAUAUUCCAUAUUUCCGUGACAGGUCUCCUGAGGUGACAGUGUCUGCAACCAUAUUCCUGGAAACUGUUAAUUAAAAAUCAAGACUGUCUCUCAAGUCUAAACCGAAUAGCAAAUGACGUCCAUGACCUAACUGUCAAUGAUGCCUAUUUGACAGGCGUUACAUCACGACUCCUGUCACUUGUCCAAUGCCUGAGUAUGUAAACCUCGAAUAGCCUUAUAUAUAUUUAUUCGAAGUGUUACUACCAGUCAGCUGAUGUAGAUACGUAAAUAAGACAUACCGUGCUAAACCUGUUAGAUGCUUCGUAUAAUCGGCAGCCAUACUUUCCCUGAGGCUUUUCCAUGCUGAUGAACACCGGUGCUGACAGUUACAUUUAAAUAAUUCUCGAACGGGUCAGACGGCAAGUCAAUUCUACGUAUAACCUCGAAGGAACCAUGCAUUCCUUUACAAAAAAACAAAGUUUGAGGUUAGGAGUGUGACGAAGUGAACCUAUAAGCCGUAAGGCGACGAGAGUAAGUCGCCAGGCAGUCUGGGAGGUUUCGAGGCCUGAACAGUCCUCAAAGAAAUAAUGACGUAUUGGACUAUGUCCAAACCAGACACGAACCUAAGUGACCUAAUAUAUCUCGCAACUAAGACUCCUAAGAAAGAAAGAAUCCAGGAUGUAGCACAACGACUCUCAUUAAAAGAUUGGCAAAUUGAUUUACAGAAAGUGUUGGACGUGGAUUACACAAGCUGAUGUAAAAGUGACAAAUAAAAGGAGUACAAAAGUAAAAGUCCUUUCUCCAGUUUUCUAUUAAUAAUUUACCUAAGGAAAAAAUACGUGCACUAUCCGAAGCGUGAGUUGCAACGGCCAAAAUUGAUUAAAAUUCAUAUCAAUCACCACUACUGACGUUAUGCAGACAUUUUUUUCUUUAAUAUCUUCAACAAUACGAAUACUGAUACAAAUUUUUAUGGCUUACUGUACUUUU